This 379-nucleotide unclassified non-coding RNA is filed under the name uncultured bacterium. RNAcentral's name for it is "contains 16S-23S intergenic spacer region". The record is from RNAcentral.
UCCGAGUUGUCCCCGGCAGUCCUCUUAGAGUCCCCGGCAUUACCCGCUGGCAACUAAGAGCAGGGGUUGCGCUCGUUGCGGCACUUAACCCAACAUCUCACGACACGAGCUGACGACAGCCAUGCAGCACCUGUGCACGAUCUCCGAAGAGGGGCUCUCGUUUCUGAGAGCUUGCUCGUACAUGUCAAGCCUAGGUAAGGUUCUUCGCGUUGCGUCGAAUUAAACCACAUGCUCCACCGCUUGUGCGGGCCCCCGUCAAUUCCUUUGAGUUUCAGCCUUGCGGCCGUACUCCCCAGGCGGGGCACUUAUCGCGUUAGCUGCGGCACCGAAGGGGUCGCUCCCCCCACACCUAGCACCCAUCGUUUACGGCUGGGACUAC